Molecule: ribosomal RNA, 207 nt
Filed under: uncultured bacterium
Lineage: Bacteria
Description: partial 16S ribosomal RNA
Rfam family: Bacterial small subunit ribosomal RNA
Source: RNAcentral
CGUGUAGGCGGCCAGGUAGGUCCGAUGUGAAAACUGGAGGCUCAACCUCCAGCUGUCAUUGGAAACCAUCUGGCUAGAGUCCGGAAGAGGAGAGUGGAAUUCCUGGUGUAGCGGUGAAAUGCGCAGAUAUCAGGAAGAACACCAAUGGCGAAGGCAGCUCUCUGGGACGGUACUGACGCUGAGACGCGAAAGCGUGGGGAGCGAACA